This 39-nucleotide transfer RNA is filed under the name Vasconcellea goudotiana. Its description in RNAcentral is "partial tRNA-Leu". Lineage: Eukaryota; Viridiplantae; Streptophyta; Magnoliopsida; Brassicales; Caricaceae. The record is from RNAcentral.
AAAAUCCGUCGACUUAAAAAAGUCGUGAGGGUUCAAGUC